Molecule: long non-coding RNA, 1820 nt
Organism: Triticum dicoccoides
Lineage: Eukaryota; Viridiplantae; Streptophyta; Magnoliopsida; Poales; Poaceae
Exons: 4
Source: RefSeq, a predicted model, not a curated record
AGGGUAGACGGGGAGCAGAGGAGCAGCCAGCGGAUCAGGAGGAGCAGCAGAUCCGGGUUCAGCGGUGGCUGCAGCCAUGGGACGCUAGGAUGAUCCAGGGGGGCCUUGAUGCAAGCGGAUGCCGAAUCUCUCUGGUGCGGCGCGGUGGCCGUACGUCAGGGAGAGGCACCGGGCCGACGCCGCAGCAGCCCAUACGUUACCUUCCUCGUCCAGCCGUCUUCCUCCGAGAUCUGUUGGACGCAGGGUAGAGGAGGAGCACGAGGAGGAGCAGAUCCAUGUUCUGCGAUGCUGGCCGCAGCCAUGCAUGGGACGCUAGGUCGAUCCAGGGGAGGCGACUGAUGCCAGCGGAUGCCAUUCUUUUCAGGAGCCACAUGAGGUUUGUCUUAAACUACUGUAUGAUUCUAGUCAUCAGUAUUCGCUACUGUUUGCUUCAGUUACCACAUGAGGUUUGCCUUAAACUUUGAUUCUAGUGCGCAUUCUAUGAUCAGAGCUGCUGGUUUUUAGCGUGUGGGAACUGAAACUUGUAACCAAGUUUCCAUGUCGCACGAAAACUUGCACCGCGGAGAACAUUUCUCUUUGCUAUCACGAUAGGCGGAAUGCUCAGUCUUACUUUGAUGCUCGGUCACACAAGCUAUCGUGGACUGAAUAUUGAAAUAGUACCGUAUUGUAUUAUACUAGUAAACUGGAAAGAUUCUGCAAUGACCACACAUAUCUUUGCCGUCUUGACUAGAGUAUAGGUUACCGAUAAUAUCGUUGCUUAAGAGUAUCUCUAAAGCGGACCUUCAAAGUCCACGUAUAUAUCCGGACCACAAUGUUUGGAUCAGCUUUUGUCAUUCAAUACGAACUCAUAUGUCCAUGGACCAGUCCGCAUGUUCGAAAUCCCGAUAUCCUGGGAACAACCGUGAGGGGGAUAUGCGGGAGUUCGAACAUCCUCUUGACCAACAAAAAGCUACCACGUGCCUACGCUACCACACAUUCUGUUCUCCCCUCUCUCUCCUCCAAUACAGGGACCACGCACCCACUUGCCCUCUCCUCCUUUCUCCCACUGCAAUUUCUCUCACGAAAUUUGCAAAUAGCUUUGGAUGGUUUCCUUCCGCAUCUCGUCCGGGUACCACGUCCGGACACGUUUGAGGAAAUUUGUAGUGUCUGUUUUAGGGAUUUGCACUAGAGGCGCCCUCAGGCUGCUUAUUACCAAGUGGGAAUUUGCGGGUUCGAUUUUAAUUAGAGGGCAUUUAAGUUUGAUUGUUUUUCUCCAUAGUUUUUUUUAAGAAACCAGGAGUUAUUUUUUUCAUUUCAGUUAAAAAUUCGAAGUAAUCAUACUUGAAAUAGUAAACACUACUUGUCUUCUUUCCGUAUGUAGGAAACUUUCCUUGUUUACAAUUUUUAGUCUAAUACUUCAUGAGGAAAUUUGUGGCAUUAGAUCAACUCUAGCAGAGUUGUCAUAUCAAGCCAAACACAUAAUAACCUGUAUGGUAACUUUGACCCCAAAAAAGUCGUUCUAGCAGAGUCGCCAUCCACCACUCCAAUUGCCAUAUGUUUGGAGGGAACUCCGAAUCAAGACCUGCCUCAAUAUUUGGAGGAUGGGGAGAGGGACAUUUAGAGCGCACUCCAUCUCGAAAACUGCUACUUGGCAUGAGCGACAUUUCCCCUCUCUCCCCUCUUCCCGCCCGCGACGCCACCUGACAUACCUCAUCGUAGCACAACCUCCUUUCGACCACAUGACAUGUCGAUGACACCAUGAACUCCGACACGACCCCUACAUCCCAUUCCUCCGGUGUCCCACGAGAUCAUGCGCUUCCCGCUCAUCCUACUCCUCCAUA